Non-coding RNA from Acanthosepion pharaonis, 98 nucleotides. Lineage: Eukaryota; Metazoa; Mollusca; Cephalopoda; Sepiida; Sepiidae. The record is from the annotation of a GenBank genome assembly.
UUGAAACACCAAUUCCCAAAUGAUCAACGAAGUUAAGCAACAUUGAGCCUUGUCAGUAUCUAGAUGGGUGAUCACUUGGGAAUACUAGGUAUUGUAAG